Molecule: ribosomal RNA, 753 nt
Filed under: uncultured Comamonadaceae bacterium
Lineage: Bacteria; Pseudomonadati; Pseudomonadota; Betaproteobacteria; Burkholderiales; Comamonadaceae
Description: bacterial SSU rRNA
Rfam family: Bacterial small subunit ribosomal RNA
Source: RNAcentral
AUUGAACGCUGGCGGCAUGCCUUACACAUGCAAGUCGAACGGCAGCACGGGAGCAAUCCUGGUGGCGAGUGGCGAACGGGUGAGUAAUACAUCGGAACGUGCCCAAUCGUGGGGGAUAACGCAGCGAAAGCUGUGCUAAUACCGCAUACGAUCUACGGAUGAAAGCAGGGGAUCGCAAGACCUUGCGCGAAUGGAGCGGCCGAUGGCAGAUUAGGUAGUUGGUGAGGUAAAGGCUCACCAAGCCGUCGAUCUGUAGCUGGUCUGAGAGGACGACCAGCCACACUGGGACUGAGUCACGGCCCAGACUCCUACGGGAGGCAGCAGUGGGGAAUUUUGGACAAUGGGCGAAAGCCUGAUCCAGCCAUGCCGCGUGCAGGAUGAAGGCCUUCGGGUUGUAAACUGCUUUUGUACGGAACGAAACGGCCUUUUCUAAUAAAGAGGGCUAAUGACGGUACCGUAAGAAUAAGCACCGGCUAACUACGUGCCAGCAGCCGCGGUAAUACGUAGGGUGCAAGCGUUAAUCGGAAUUACUGGGCGUAAAGCGUGCGCAGGCGGUUAUGUAAGACAGUUGUGAAAUCCCCGGGCUCAACCUGGGAACUGCAUCUGUGACUGCAUAGCUAGAGUACGGUAGAGGGGGAUGGAAUUCCGCGUGUAGCAGUGAAAUGCGUAGAUAUGCGGAGGAACACCGAUGGCGAAGGCAAUCCCCUGGACCUGUACUGACGCUCAUGCACGAAAGCGUGGGGAGCAAACAGG